AUGGAGACCAGAAUGAAUGGCACAACGAGGGCUAAACUGUCUCCUUCCUCUAGUCAAUGAAAUUGAUCUGCCCGUGCAGAAGCGGGCAUAUGCACAUAAGACGAGAAGACCCUAUGGAGCUUAAGACGUCGAGGCAGCCCGCGUUAAUGACCUCCCCUUACGGCACUAAACAUGAACGGCUUAUUCUGCCCCUGUCUUUGGUUGGGGCGACCGCGGGGAAACGCAAAACCCCCGAGUGGAAUGGGAUAAUCCCCGAGAUAAGGCCCUCAGGCCUACCCACCAAAAAAUCUGACCAGCAAGAUCCGGAAAUCCAAUCAACGGACCCAGUUACCCUAGGGAUAACAGCGCAUUCCCCUUUUAGAGCCCACAUCGACAAGGGGGUUUACAACCUCGAUUUUGGAUCAGGACCUCCUAGUGGUGCACCCCCUACUAAGGGUUCGUUUGUUCAACGAUAAAGGUCCUACUUGAUCUGAGUUCAAACCGGAGGUCAUAGCUUUUUUCCC
This 503-nucleotide ribosomal RNA is filed under the name Zebrus zebrus (zebra goby). Its description in RNAcentral is "partial large subunit ribosomal RNA". It matches the Rfam family "Bacterial large subunit ribosomal RNA", at positions 1980 to 2639 of the family's 2925-position model. The record is from RNAcentral. Lineage: Eukaryota; Metazoa; Chordata; Actinopteri; Gobiiformes; Gobiidae.